GAAAUGCGAAACCUAGUGUGAUACGCAACGAUCGUGAAUCAUCAAGUCUUUGAACGCAUAUUGCACUCUGUCUAACCGCAGAGUAUACCUGUUUGAGUAUCAGAUGUCCUUUUCAGCAAGCAGUUGCUGGUUAAUGGGUGUUGUGCAGCCGCAACGGCUGCUCACCUUAAAUGCAGGCAAAGCCACAGCGGCCGGUGCCAGGUGUCCAAGGUUCUAACCGACCAAGUUCACUGUAGUACUCGGUUGCACACGGCGGUGCUCCAUUCGCAUCCCUCGAUGCAUCUAUCAAUUGAUCUCAAAUCAGGCAGGAUCACCCGCUGAACUUAA
RNAcentral lists this unclassified non-coding RNA (327 nucleotides) under uncultured fungus. Its description in RNAcentral is "sequence contains ITS1". The stretch from base 1 to 102 matches the Rfam family "5.8S ribosomal RNA", at positions 50 to 154 of the family's 154-position model. Lineage: Eukaryota; Fungi. The record is from RNAcentral.